CGUAACAAGGUCUCCGUUGGUGAACCAGCGGAGGGAUCAUUACUGAGUUUUUAACUCUUAAACCAUUUGUGAACAUACCUUCUCUAGCUGCUUUGGCAAGGCUCUCUCGAGAGUCCUUGCCGGUAGCAUUUAUAAACUCUUUAUUAUAUUUCUAUAGAAUUAUUCAUUGCUGAGUGGCAUUAACUAAAUAAGUUAAAACUUUCAACAACGGAUCUCUUGGCUCUAGCAUCGAUGAAGAACGCAGCGAAAUGCGAUAAGUAAUGUGAAUUGCAGAAUUCAGUGAAUCAUCGAAUCUUUGAACGCACAUUGCGCCUGGCAGUAUUCUGCCAGGCAUGCCUGUCCGAGCGUCAUUUCACCCCUCAAGCUCUGCUUGGUGUUGGAGGACCCGCGAUUCUUUGCGGGCCGCCGAAAUGCAUCGGCUGUUGUAUUUGCAGCUUCCCUGUGUAGUAAUGCUUAGCUUUACACUUGGAAACUCUUAUAUGACAUGCCGGAAAACCCUCAAUUUGUGAAAGGUUGACCUCGGAUCAGGUAGGAAUACCCGCUGAACUUAAGCAUAUC
This 558-nucleotide ribosomal RNA is filed under the name Seychellomyces hexagonus. RNAcentral describes it as "eukaryotic LSU rRNA". The stretch from base 197 to 350 matches the Rfam family "5.8S ribosomal RNA". The record is from RNAcentral. Lineage: Eukaryota; Fungi; Ascomycota; Sordariomycetes; Microascales.